GACGAACGCUGGCGGCGUGCUUAACACAUGCAAGUCGAACGAGAAUCUACUGAAAGCGUUUUCGGACAAUGGAAGUAGAGGAAAGUGGCGGACGGGUGAGUAACGCGUGAGGAACCUGCCUUGAAGAGGGGGACAACAGUUGGAAACGACUGCUAAUACCGCAUGAAGCAUAGGGGUCGCAUGAUUCUUAUGCCAAAGAUUUAUCGCUUCAAGAUGGCCUCGCGUCUGAUUAGCUGGUUGGCGGGGUAACGGCCCACCAAGGCGACGAUCAGUAGCCGGACUGAGAGGUUGAACGGCCACAUUGGGACUGAGAUACGGCCCAGACUCCUACGGGAGGCAGCAGUGGGGAAUAUUGGGCAAUGGGCGCAAGCCUGACCCAGCAACGCCGCGUGAAGGAAGAAGGCUUUCGGGUUGUAAACUUCUUUUAAGAGGGAAGAGCAGAAGACGGUACCUCUAGAAUAAGCCACGGCUAACUACGUG
RNAcentral lists this ribosomal RNA (480 nucleotides) under uncultured bacterium. Its description in RNAcentral is "partial 16S ribosomal RNA". It matches the Rfam family "Bacterial small subunit ribosomal RNA", at positions 28 to 507 of the family's 1533-position model. The record is from RNAcentral.